CAGCAGCCGCGGGAAUACGUAGGGUGCAAGCGUUAAUCGGAAUUACUGGGCGUAAAGCGUGCGCAGGCGGUUCGUUAAGACAGAUGUGAAAUCCCCGGGCUCAACCUGGGAACUGCAUUUGUGACUGGCAAGCUAGAGUAUGGCAGAGGGGGGUGGAAUUCCGCGUGUAGCAGUGAAAUGCGUAGAUAUGCGGAGGAACACCGAUGGCGAAGGCAGCCCCCUGGGCCAAUACUGACGCUCAUGCACGAAAGCGUGGGGAGCAAACAGGAUUAGAUACCCGGGUAGUCCCUGUCUCUUAUAC
This 301-nucleotide ribosomal RNA is filed under the name uncultured bacterium. Its description in RNAcentral is "partial 16S ribosomal RNA". It matches the Rfam family "Bacterial small subunit ribosomal RNA", at positions 509 to 807 of the family's 1533-position model. The record is from RNAcentral.